AUGAACGCUGGCGGCGUGCCUAAUACAUGCAAGUCGAGCGAACAGACGAGGAGCUUGCUCCUCUGACGUUAGCGGCGGACGGGUGAGUAACACGUGGAUAACCUACCUAUAAGACUGGGAUAACUUCGGGAAACCGGAGCUAAUACCGGAUAAUAUAUUGAACCGCAUGGUUCAAUAGUGAAAGACGGUUUUGCUGUCACUUAUAGAUGGAUCCGCGCCGCAUUAGCUAGUUGGUGAGGUAACGGCUUACCAAGGCGACGAUGCGUAGCCGACCUGAGAGGGUGAUCGGCCACACUGGAACUGAGACACGGUCCAGACUCCUACGGGAGGCAGCAGUAGGGAAUCUUCCGCAAUGGGCGAAAGCCUGACGGAGCAACGCCGCGUGAGUGAUGAAGGUCUUCGGAUCGUAAAACUCUGUUAUUAGGGAAGAACAAAUGUGUAAGUAACUAUGCACGUCUUGACGGUACCUAAUCAGAAAGCCACGGCUAACUACGUG
This 496-nucleotide ribosomal RNA is filed under the name uncultured bacterium. RNAcentral describes it as "partial 16S ribosomal RNA". It matches the Rfam family "Bacterial small subunit ribosomal RNA", at positions 29 to 507 of the family's 1533-position model. The record is from RNAcentral.